AGGGAAAGGGAUGCAAGAGUGGGGGGGGGUGUCAAUGUUACCAUGUCUCUUUGAGAUUAUUUGGGUUUGUUUGAUUGAUUGAUUGUUUGUUUGUUUAAUGUGUGUGAGUUCAGUGUCGUUCUCUUUGGAUUGCUGGGAAUUGAACUCAGCGCCUCUGGAAGAACAGCCAAUGCUCCCACAGCUUUAGUGGGCGGAGUCGCGUUGAGAAACUUAUGAACCUAUGAACGCUUUCCUGAAGCGAUGUCACCACAAAGAUGAAUGGUCUACAUCUGCUCCCACCCGAGAUUCUGAGAACUAGGAAGAGAACAGUCUCCUGUAAGAACCGUCAAGAGUGGGAGGAGAGCUGUGAAGUGCUGUCUUCUAGACAGGACAAGGCUGUCGCCUGCAUCACCUCACUGAAGCUGUGGUUAUCAGCACAAGGAGGCCGAAGGGGCUCAGAGGUGAAGAACACGUGCAGAGGACCAGAAUUUCCUUCCCAGCACUGAGUGGGCCAGCUCAUCUGCCUGUAACUCCAGUUCCAGGAGCAGAGAAAGGGGUAAUCUCCAGCUUCUGCAGAACUGCCUUGCCGUUUUAAAUGGAGACACAUAGGCUUCACUCCACCUUCUGAUGAAAAGGGCUGCCUUCAAAUCUGGUUUGUUUUCCUGACGACCUCUGGCAUCUAAGCUCACUGGGAACAACAGAAACAGCGGGCACAGUGCAUCGGCUCUUCUUCUGAGAGACAGUGGAGCAGCUGGGCUCACUGGCCGCAGGGUAGCGGCCUGCCACCUCGCACUCCACCUUCCAAGAAGCCCAAAGUUCAACCUCUUUUCUUUAAGUAGCCUGUCUUAACUGUGUUUAUUUCGUAUGUGGCGAUUCUAUGGCUGCAGGCCUUAUUUACCUAAGAAUCGCUUGUCCAGUUUUAACAUUCUCAAAGUACAUUGUUCACACAAGAUAAAGGUUGCCUUUCUCAAUAUUGUUUUAAGCAUCCUGUUCCCUUAGUUCUUUCAUGUAUCCGUGUAAAGCAUCUUGAUGAGACUUACUUUAAAUUAAUGAACGUAGAAGUUUUGGGUCAGACUUUAUGUGAGCUUUAUAAGUAUGAUCUCUGAAGAAAAGCAGAUGUGUUAGUAUGUUUGCCUUAAACUUGUGAACUAAACCAAUAUUGUAAACGCCCAGAGGCACCAGCGGCGUUUUUACUCCGUGCCCCUUGUAUCGCUCUGGAAUUCGGGGUAGCUACAAUAAAUCUACUCCGGUAUUAUG
This is a long non-coding RNA of Arvicanthis niloticus (Nile rat), 1236 nucleotides long. RefSeq lists it as uncharacterized. Lineage: Eukaryota; Metazoa; Chordata; Mammalia; Rodentia; Muridae. The record is from RefSeq and is a predicted model, not a curated record.